UACGUAGGUGGCAAGCGUUGUCCGGAUUUACUGGGUGUAAAGGGCGUGUAGCCGGGAAGGCAAGUCAGAUGUGAAAUCUGGAGGCUCAACCUCCAAACUGCAUUUGAAACUGCUUUUCUUGAGUAUCGGAGAGGUAAUCGGAAUUCCUUGUGUAGCGGUGAAAUGCGUAGAUAUAAGGAAGAACACCAGUGGCGAAGGCGGAUUACUGGACGACAACUGACGGUGAGGCGCGAAAGCGUGGGGAGCAAACAGGAUUAGAUACC
This 263-nucleotide ribosomal RNA is filed under the name uncultured bacterium. Its description in RNAcentral is "partial 16S ribosomal RNA". It matches the Rfam family "Bacterial small subunit ribosomal RNA", at positions 524 to 786 of the family's 1533-position model. The record is from RNAcentral.